CAAUAGCGUAUAUUAAAGUUGUUGCGGUAAAAAAGCUCGUAGUUGGAUUUCUACCGAAGAUAGCCGGUCGGGUCUUCGACCUUGUAUCUGGUUUUGUCUUUGGUAUCCUCACAGGGAACGCUUCUGCGCUUUAUUGCGUGGUGCGGUAUCUAUGACUUUUACUUUGAGGAAAUUAGAGUGUUCACGGCAGGCAAACGCCUUGAAUAUAUUAGCAUGGAAUAAUAACAUAGGAUCUUCGUCCUAUUUUGUUGGUUUCUAGGGCUAAGAUAAUGAUUAAUAGGGAUAAUUGGGGGCAUCUGUAUCAACGCGUCAGAGGUGGAGUUCUUGGAUUGCGUUGCGACAAACUACUGCGAAAGCAUUUGCCAAGGAUGUUUUCAUUGA
RNAcentral lists this ribosomal RNA (381 nucleotides) under uncultured eukaryote. RNAcentral's name for it is "partial 18S ribosomal RNA". It matches the Rfam family "Eukaryotic small subunit ribosomal RNA", at positions 592 to 976 of the family's 1831-position model. The record is from RNAcentral.